Long non-coding RNA from Varanus komodoensis (Komodo dragon), 409 nucleotides. RefSeq lists it as uncharacterized. Lineage: Eukaryota; Metazoa; Chordata; Lepidosauria; Squamata; Varanidae. The transcript has 3 exons. The record is from RefSeq and is a predicted model, not a curated record.
CCUCCAAAGACUUUGAACAAGGUUUUGCACCGUCAAAAGAGCAUCUUUAUGCCCAAGCGGAGCAAGAGGAAGAGUCCAGUCCUAGACAGAUCUACUCGCUAAAUAAGUCCCUGUGAAUUCAGGCCAGCUUCCUCUCAAGAGCUUGAUGAGUAAUAGCUGAAUGUGUGAACUGACUCCAGAAGGAAGCUUGUGUUCCAUGCAGGACAGGGGCGCGCUGCCGUUUCUGUGCAUCCACCAGGACAAAAUCGUCCCCCGAUCUCCUAGCAACUUGCUCGUGUGAACCGGCCCCUAGAGCAACAGGAGGAGCAGGCGGGAAGAGAGGAUCGCUCUCGAUACGCGUGCGGCGAAGCGCGAUGGGGACCAGAGCUUCACACCCUGGCGCGAGCGAGCCCACAAGCUGAGUGAGGGC